Molecule: ribosomal RNA, 253 nt
Filed under: uncultured bacterium
Lineage: Bacteria
Description: partial 16S ribosomal RNA
Rfam family: Bacterial small subunit ribosomal RNA
Source: RNAcentral
UACGUAGGGCGCAAGCGUUGUCCGGAAUUAUUGGGCGUAAAGAGCUCGUAGGCGGUCCGUCACGUCUGCCGUGAAAACCCGAGGCUUAACCUCGGGCCUGCGGUGGAUACGGGCGAACUAGAGGUAGGUAGGGGAGAACGGAAUUCCUGGUGUAGCGGUGGAAUGCGCAGAUAUCAGGAGGAACACCGGUGGCGAAGGCGGGUCUCUGGGCCGUUACUGACGCUGAGGAGCGAAAGCGUGGGGAGCGAACAGG